ACAAGCCUGAGAAACGGCUAGUAGGACUAAGGUCUGCAGCAGGCGCGAAACUUACACAAUGCUAGAUUAAAAUUAGCGAUGUAGUUAAGAAAAAUAACGAUGUACUUCCAUUUAAACAUGGUAGUACAAUUGGAAUGAGACGACUCUAAACCAGUCAGUCGAGUAACAAAUGGAGGGCAAGUCUGGUGCCAGCAGCCGCGGUAAUUCCAGCUCCAUUAGCAUACAUUAAAGUUGUUGCGGUUAAAAAGCUCGUAGUUGAAUUUUAGGCGAGCUCUAUUGGGAUGCGUCCGUUAAGGGUUCACGUUAGUUAUCUCCGGAUGCUUCGUGCAAUCUGGUCGUAUUUUCCCUAUAGGAACUCGCUGUUUCGUCACUUAAUCCAGUGCGAAGCGGGCUGGAACAUGGACCAUCAACCGAUGGUCUUGUUACAGCAAGUUUACCUUGAGAAAAUUAGAGUGCUCACAGCAGGCAGUUGGGGUGUAAAAGCUCCUUUAUGCUUGAAUAAUGUUGCAUGGAAUAAUAGAAUAUGGCCUCGGUUCUAUUCUGUUGGUCUUAUAGAACAACAAAUAAGUCGGUUAAAGCGACCAAAAGUCCGUUUGCGAGUGUGGUUUCAAGCAUCUUGUUAUACGUCUAGUGGCUCUAACUGAAAUCUUAUCGGCGAUUCUGUUGCCUGGGGCCUUAAAAUCUCGGAGCCUGGUCCCUUUAUGUAUCUCAGCUAUCUGCUAGUGUUGGCUUGUCUGUUGGACUCCAUUAAAGCACUCCUUAUUGGGCUAGCUUUUAAUCAACUGAGGCAAUGGUUAAAAGAAAUAGUCGCGGCGGCAUCAGUACUGCAUCGUGAGAG
RNAcentral lists this ribosomal RNA (838 nucleotides) under Phyllocoptes webbianae. RNAcentral describes it as "partial 18S ribosomal RNA". It matches the Rfam family "Eukaryotic small subunit ribosomal RNA", at positions 389 to 910 of the family's 1831-position model. The record is from RNAcentral. Lineage: Eukaryota; Metazoa; Arthropoda; Arachnida; Trombidiformes; Eriophyidae.